This 301-nucleotide ribosomal RNA is filed under the name uncultured bacterium. RNAcentral describes it as "partial 16S ribosomal RNA". It matches the Rfam family "Bacterial small subunit ribosomal RNA", at positions 509 to 809 of the family's 1533-position model. The record is from RNAcentral.
CAGUCGCCGCGGUAAUACGUAGGGUGCGAGCGUUAAUCGGAAUUACUGGGCGUAAAGCGUGCGCAGGCGGUUCGUUAAGACAGAUGUGAAAUCCCCGGGCUUAACCUGGGAACUGCAUUUGUGACUGGCGAGCUAGAGUAUGGCAGAGGGGGGUAGAAUUCCACGUGUAGCAGUGAAAUGCGUAGAGAUGUGGAGGAAUACCGAUGGCGAAGGCAGCCACCUGGGCUAAUACUGACGCUCAUGCACGAAAGCGUGGGGAGCAAACAGGAUUAGAUACCCCAGUAGUCCCUGUCUCUUAUAA